Myotis daubentonii (Daubenton's bat) is the source of this 2921-nucleotide long non-coding RNA. RefSeq lists it as uncharacterized. Lineage: Eukaryota; Metazoa; Chordata; Mammalia; Chiroptera; Vespertilionidae. The transcript has 2 exons. The record is from RefSeq and is a predicted model, not a curated record.
UUUCAGGGAGCAGCCUGGCUGUCUGGGUGGCGGCCAGGUCCGCCCGAGCGCAGAGCGCUGAAUUCCAACCAGCCCCGGGAGCGCUCUGCUGGGAAACCUCAUUCUGGAAAACCGGAGUCCAACGGCGACUUUCCACCAGAAGCCAAGGGCGGAAAUGACCCCGGGGACCGAGGUUGGGCUAAGGAGUGAGCCAGCGGAGCUCACGGGGGAGGGGCUGGGGACAUUUCUUGGCUGUGCUGCUGCCUAGAAACUUUUUCUUGCCCUGCGACCAACUUGAGGCUGAACUCUGAGAAAAACGACAGCUCCCUGGAAGCCUUUCUCCUGUAAGAAUGGCCAGAUGUGUGUGUGUCGUCGUUUCUCUCUCUGUUUCUUCCCACAGAGCGCACGCUGCAUCCAGGACAACUAUGCGUCGCGUGCGCGGCACCAAAUAGGCGCCCAGGAAACCCCCGCUUCGUGAACGAGAAAGUUGGGCUUUUAAAAAGAAGGCACCAAGUUGAACCUAGAACCUUGGUGAUUUCCUGUUUGGGUGGAGUUUGAUUCCAACGGGGCCUGAGCUUUACAAAGAGGAAUUUUUCUGGCGCUCCGGGAGGGAGCGGCCCCCACUCUGAACUUUUGCCCUGAGCCGGGUGUGAAAGGAGUCCACGCAAGUGAAUCCCUGGAGGACACAGGGUCAGCGCUCUCCCGAGAUCCUGCGAGGGAACUAAUACUCCCCACCCCACGUUCCCUUUGACAAAGAGGGAGGCGGAGAGGGAAGCAGGCCUGAACUCCUGGCUCCUCCGCAUAAUGACCUGAUGGGAGAAGGAAGCCUGUUUCACUGAAGAGGCGCCCCACCCUCUUGAAUGUUCGGGAAAAUACAUCUCUGCCUUGCGCUGCUUGUGCAGGCAGCAAAGCUUCCCAUGCACGUUGAUCCUCGGCUUUACCUCCUUCCAUUGCUGGAGUCAAGACCCCCCAGACACACUUGGUGGGUUCGGAUCGGGGUUCUUCCCACCUGUGUGUGGUUUCGUGGGUGAUCCUUGCAGCCUUUGCCAGCCGCUCAUCUGUAAAUGAAGACAGCCAUUGGGCCUUCUCCAUGGCGCCAUUGUAUGGCUUUAAGUGAAGUCAAGUAUAGAACCUGCUUAGAACAGCCAGCCCCAUAACAGAGUGCAAUGUGUUUGCUAGAAAUAUACUUUCUUCUUGGUUCCAGGAGCACCCUGGGGUGGGUUCCAGACUGUUCACGAGUGAGACAAAAAUAGCCAAGUGUGGGAAAGGAAGAUACCAGAAAAGGGCCUUUUUCGGGAUGAUAGGAUUGCCGGCUGGGUAUGGGGAGGGGCGUUUUUUAGGGUUUCUUGACCCACCUCCUUCUUUUUAUCUGGAAUUAAACCUUAACUGAUCUCCAGUUCCAGAGAAACGUUUCAGCUUCUACGUCAUGGUCAGUGGAUGAAGGAGUCAGACACUGAACCGUGGUACCUGCACAGUAAGGGUAGAGAGCUGGUUUGCAUUUUCCCGGCCCGCAAAGGACAGGGGCAUGAAGGCGUCACAAGUCUUGUGCCUUCCAUUCCCCCCCACCCCUGGGGUCGUGCUCCCUGAGUGGACUCUUGUCUGGCCUCAAUUCAGGGAGCAAUAUGCCUAACUCGAUGGGAGAUUAACUAAGCACAUUUUCCCUGCCCUAUGAAGGUCAAGGGCAAAACUAUGUGGAAGUCAGAUAUCAAGUGUGAAUGGGGUUGAAGCGGGAGAGUGGCAAUGCUGCAGGCAGGAUUGGCCAAUCAGAUGCCCCGCUCCUCAGGUUUGUCUACCUCUCCUUUUCCCUCCCAGAAUCGAGCCUCUCCCUUCUGCUCCUGCUCCGGCUCCGAAUCUCCACAUCUCGGCUCCUGGCUUCCCCACCAGCCUCUUGUACAUCCCCUCAAUUCACACCAGCUUAUUCCCAGCUGCUGUCAACGAGGCUCCAUCCUUUGGUUUCAAGCCUCUCGUUGCAAACCCAUCGCCCCUUUCCAUUUCUCCUCCCCUCGAAUGUCCCCGGGGCCUCAUGGUUUCUUUCUUAGACUCUUGCAAACAGGCUCCUGCCCUGUCUCUGUUACCAAUAUGGCCCAUUUCAGGACCCACCCUGUGUUUUGACGUCAUCAGAACCCUCGCCCGAGUGAUCGCUGUAGCAUUCGGAUACAACCCUGCUGCCCUCAUGGCUGAAGAGCCUCCCUAACUUCACCUUGCCUCUGGAUUAGCUCGCUCCUGAUGUGACUUUUCAUGGUCUGGCUUCCGUCUCCUUUGCCAGCCUCAUCUUCCACCUCCUUUAUAUGACACCCCCUCCCCCCAGUGUUCACCCAAUGAUGCUCUCUCAUCAUUAAUGUUUCUAUCUCUCUCUCCCUUUCCCUUCCUCUCUGAAAUCAAUAAAAAAGAAAGGAAAAUGAUCUGAAGGAUACAUUACAAACUGUUAAAAUUUGACUAUGUUUUUUGCUCCAAGUCACUAAUCAUCGGACAAAUGCAAAUCAAAACGACCACGUUUUAUAUGACUGGGGGGUCAUAUAAAGCAGAGGUGGGAGGUGAGGCUGGAAAAGUUGAGCGUAAAUGCAUGGAGGUUGGUUAUAUUAUUCUCCAUACUGUUCUGUAUACUUAACAAUGUUUCAUUUAAAAUGUCAUAUGUGUAAUUGUUGCAUUAUUGUACCUAAUUUGAUCAUUUUUCAAAAAUAUUUCCGUUUAAGGUAUGUUUGCAGGUCAGAAAAUUGUAAUUGUGAAAUGCUCUGAAAUGUAAAAAAAAAAAAAAAACAACAACAACAAAAAAAACAAGCUAUAAGUAAAAUCGACUAAAUCCAAAAAAACAGAAACAAAAGUUGAUUUACCUGUGGCCUCAUAUCCUGGCUUUUGCUAUCUUCUUAAAGAGAUGGUUGAACCAACGUGUUGAGCUUUGAUAUUAAGAAUAAACAGGUUAAUAAAGAUCAGCAGUCAAGAAA